Non-coding RNA from Salvelinus fontinalis (brook trout), 410 nucleotides. NCBI's taxonomy places the organism in Eukaryota, Metazoa, Chordata, Actinopteri, Salmoniformes, Salmonidae. The record is from the annotation of a RefSeq genome assembly.
CCAUAGAUCUAACUCUACAGCUCAGACAAACAAACAGACAGACAGACAGACAGACAGACAGCAUGAUCAGAGUUCUCCUCACGGCUACUGUUUCACUCCUCUGGCUCACAGGUUCCUGUGUGUCCCUCUCCGUCCACCAAUCUCCUCGUCAUCUCACCAAGAAGCCAGGAAACACCAUAAAGAUGACCUGCAGUCACCAUGACAAAAAAUAUGAUAAGAUCUACUGGUACCGUCAGACACAUGGACAACAGCUCCAGCUCAUCGGCUUCCUGUCCUUUAAACAAGCUUCUGAUGUUGCGGAAAACUUUAACAUCUCAGGCGACGCAGAGGAUGAGGGUUUUCUGGGGUCGCUUGCAGUGAGGGUUGAAGACACUGGGCUAUAUUAUUGUGCUGUGAGUAAAGCACAGUGA